This 441-nucleotide ribosomal RNA is filed under the name uncultured Leptolinea sp. RNAcentral describes it as "bacterial SSU rRNA". It matches the Rfam family "Bacterial small subunit ribosomal RNA", at positions 927 to 1382 of the family's 1533-position model. Lineage: Bacteria; Bacillati; Chloroflexota; Anaerolineae; Anaerolineales; Anaerolineaceae. The record is from RNAcentral.
AAGCAGCGGAGCGUGUGGUUUAAUUCGAUGUUACACGAAGACCUUACCAGGGUUUGACAUGCAAGUGGUAGGAAGCCGAAAGGUGACCGACCCUUCGGGGAGCUUGCACAGGUGCUGCAUGGCUGUCGUCAGUUCGUGUCGUGAGAUGUUCGGUUAAGUCCGCUAACGAGCGCAACCCUCGCUGUGUGUUAUAUGUGUCACACGGGACUGCCGGUCUUAAGCCGGAGGAAGGUGGGGAUGAUGUCAAGUCAGCAUGGCCUUUAUAUCCUGGGCUGCACACACGCUACAAUGGCCAACACAAUAGGUUGCUAAGCCGCGAGGUGGCGCCAAUCCAUAAAGUUGGUCUCAGUUCAGAUUGUAGGCUGCAACCCGCCUGCAUGAAGAUGGAGUUGCUAGUAACCGCAGGUCAGCUAUACUGCGGUGAAUACGUUCCCGGGGCUU